This 596-nucleotide long non-coding RNA is filed under the name Pan troglodytes (chimpanzee). Its description in RNAcentral is "long non-coding RNA NONPTRT003346". Lineage: Eukaryota; Metazoa; Chordata; Mammalia; Primates; Hominidae. The record is from RNAcentral.
UUUAGGGAAAAAAAAUUACCGUGAAGAUACUGUAAAUAUCCCCCUCCAGGACUUGCUUUGGUGUGGAAGUGAUUCCGCUGUGAGUUGUGUCUUUUGCGUUGUUGCACUCUUCAUCAUAUUCAUCCGCAGGACCUCCAGCUCUAAAGGGUGUGAAGAGGAUACUGACCCACCAGAAAGAGACCCCACUGCUAGAACGAAUAAGAUGUGCUGAAAGCCGGAGCAUAACUUGGCCAUUCCAAGAUUUAACGACAAACUAACUACCCAUCAUUAACACUAAAGAAAGAAAACAAUCAGUAAGAGAUUAUAUAGACCUAAGAGAUGUUACAGACCGAAGAAGAACCUAUGGAUAACAGAAAUUAACAGAUAUUUAUGCGCCGGGCACUGUGGCUCAUGCCUGUAAUCCCAGCACUUUGGGAGGCUGAGGCGGGCAGAUCACGAGGUCAGGAGAUGGAGACCAUCCUGGCUAACACGGUGAAACCCCAUCUCUACUAACAAUACAAAAAAUUAGCUGGGCGUGGUGGCGGGCGCCUGUGGUCCCAGGGACUUGGGAGGCAGAGGGAGGAGAAUGGCGUGGACCCGGGAGGCGGAGCUUGCAG